UGUACCAGUAGCUCAAAUUAGAGCGCCGAUCUUGUAAGUCGGAGGCUGGGGGUUUGACUCCCCCCUCGUGCUC
RNAcentral lists this transfer RNA (73 nucleotides) under Prototroctes maraena (Australian grayling). RNAcentral describes it as "tRNA-Thr". It matches the Rfam family "tRNA". From Rfam's summary of the family: Transfer RNA (tRNA) molecules are approximately 80 nucleotides in length. Their secondary structure includes four short double-helical elements and three loops (D, anti-codon, and T loops). Lineage: Eukaryota; Metazoa; Chordata; Actinopteri; Osmeriformes; Retropinnidae. The record is from RNAcentral.